RNAcentral lists this small RNA (243 nucleotides) under Meriones unguiculatus (Mongolian gerbil). RNAcentral describes it as "7SK RNA (ENSMUGG00000015669.1)". It matches the Rfam family "7SK RNA", at positions 50 to 248 of the family's 331-position model. Rfam says of the family: 7SK was discovered as an abundant small nuclear RNA in the mid-70s but a possible function has only recently been suggested. Two independent studies have found that 7SK RNA binds the CDK9/cyclin T complex (known as elongation factor P-TEFb). Lineage: Eukaryota; Metazoa; Chordata; Mammalia; Rodentia; Muridae. The record is from RNAcentral.
GGAUGGGGGGGGGCGAUCUGGCUGGCUAGGCGGGUGUCCCCUUCCUCCCUCGUCACUCCAUGUGCAUCCCUCCCGAAGCUGUGCGCUCGGUCCGAAGAGGAUGACCUUCCCAGAAUAGAGGAGGACCGGUCUUUGGUCAAGGGUACACGAGUAGCUGUGUUCCCCUGCUAGAACCUCCAAACAAGCUGAUUCUUAUUCUAUAAAAUGUCCCAAGUGAACUGUGCGUUCCAGUUAAUGUUCCUU